This is a non-coding RNA of 393 nucleotides. It matches the Rfam family "Bacterial RNase P class A". From Rfam's summary of the family: Ribonuclease P (RNase P) is a ubiquitous endoribonuclease, found in archaea, bacteria and eukarya as well as chloroplasts and mitochondria. Its best characterised activity is the generation of mature 5'-ends of tRNAs by cleaving the 5'-leader elements of precursor-tRNAs. The record is from Rfam.
CCAGUCGGUCGGACGGCCGCUCCCGCUUCGCGGGGGAGGAAAGUCCGGGCUCCACGGAAACACGGUGCCGGAUAACGUCCGGCGGGGGCGACCCCAGGGAAAGCGCCACAGAGAUCGAACCGCCCCAGGCCUCGGCCCGGGGUAAGGGUGAAAAGGUGCGGUAAGAGCGCACCGCGUACCCGGCAACGGGAACGGCAUGGCAAGCCCCACCGGGAGCAAAACCAAAUAGGGACGAUGCUCUCCGUGCAAGCGGGGAGGGGCCUGUUUCCUGGCCUGGUCGUCCGGGUUGGUUGCUCGAGGCGCGCAGCAAUGCGCGUCCCAGAGGAAUGGCCGUCACGCCGCGGGAGAAAUCCUCCGGCCAUCCAGAACCCGGCUUACAGGCCGGCUGGCGCC